UUGAACGCUGGCGGCAUGCUUACACAUGCAAGUCGAACGGUAACAGGUCUUCGGAUGCUGACGAGUGGCGAACGGGUGAGUAAUACAUCGGAACGUGCCCAGUAAUGGGGGAUAGCUCGGCGAAAGCCGGAUUAAUACCGCAUACGCCCUGAGGGGGAAAGUGGGGGAUCGCAAGACCUCACGUUAUUGGAGCGGCCGAUGGCUGAUUAGCUAGUUGGUAGGGUAAAGGCCUACCAAGGCGACGAUCAGUAGCUGGUCUGAGAGGACGAUCAGCCACACUGGGACUGAGACACGGCCCAGACUCCUACGGGAGGCAGCAGUGGGGAAUUUUGGACAAUGGGGGAAACCCUGAUCCAGCAAUGCCGCGUGUGCGAAGAAGGCCUUCGGGUUGUAAAGCACUUUUGUCAGGGAAGAAAUCCUUUGGGCUAAUACCCUAGGGGGAUGACGGUACCUGAAGAAUAAGCACCGGCUAACUACGUGCCAGCAGCCGCGGUAAUACGUAGGGUGCAAGCGUUAAUCGGAAUUACUGGGCGUAAAGCGUGCGCAGGCGGUUGUGUAAGACAGGUGUGAAAUCCCCGGGCUUAACCUGGGAAUUGCAUUUGUGACUGCACGACUAGAGUGUGUCAGAGGGGGGUGGAAUUCCACGUGUAGCAGUGAAAUGCGUAGAUAUGUGGAGGAACACCAAUGGCGAAGGCAGCCCCCUGGGAUAACACUGACGCUCAU
RNAcentral lists this ribosomal RNA (723 nucleotides) under uncultured beta proteobacterium. Its description in RNAcentral is "bacterial SSU rRNA". It matches the Rfam family "Bacterial small subunit ribosomal RNA", at positions 29 to 750 of the family's 1533-position model. The record is from RNAcentral. Lineage: Bacteria; Pseudomonadati; Pseudomonadota; Betaproteobacteria.